Molecule: ribosomal RNA, 506 nt
Filed under: uncultured bacterium
Lineage: Bacteria
Description: partial 16S ribosomal RNA
Rfam family: Bacterial small subunit ribosomal RNA
Source: RNAcentral
AGUGAACGCUGGCGGUAGGCCUAACACAUGCAAGUCGAACGGCAGCACAGGAGAGCUUGCUCUCUGGGUGGCGAGUGGCGGACGGGUGAGGAAUACAUCGGAAUCUACUUUUUCGUGGGGGAUAACGUAGGGAAACUUACGCUAAUACCGCAUACGACCUACGGGUGAAAGCAGGGGACCUUCGGGCCUUGCGCGAUUGAAUGAGCCGAUGUCGGAUUAGCUAGUUGGCGGGGUAAAGGCCCACCAAGGCGACGAUCCGUAGCUGGUCUGGGAGGGUGAGCAGCCACACUGGAAGUGAGAGACGGUCAAGACUCCUACGGGAGGCAGCAGUGGGGAAUAUUGGACAAUGGGCGCAAGCCUGAUCCAGCCAGACCGCGUGGGUGAAGAAGGCCUUCGGGUUGUAAAGCCCUUUUGUUGGGAAAGAAAUCCAGCUGGCUAAUACCCGGUUGGGAUGACGGUACCCAAAGAAUAAGCACCGGCUAACUUCGUGCCAGCCGCCGCAGUAA